CGGACAUUUCCCCGCUUUGCUUGACACUUCUCCAUUGUGCUGCCAUAUGAAGAAGGACGUGUUUGCUUCCCCUUCCACCAUGAUUUUUAGUUUACUGAGACCUUCCCAACCCUGCAGAACUGAAGUUCAAGCUGCUAGAUGGACAGGUCAAAUGAAGAAACAGAUGCCUGACCACUACUAAGCUGUAACUGAUACUGCAGUUGAGAUACAAGAUGUGAAUCUAAAAGAAAUCACCUCGGAUGUCUAGCCCUGUCCUCAAAUAAUUUCAGCUCGGCUGUCUCAUGACUACAACCAUACAAGAAACCCCAACAGCCAACAUAUGGAAACAACCUAAAUG
This 337-nucleotide long non-coding RNA is filed under the name Homo sapiens (human). Its description in RNAcentral is "HSALNT0376805". The record is from RNAcentral. Lineage: Eukaryota; Metazoa; Chordata; Mammalia; Primates; Hominidae.